AGCAGCCGCGGUAAUUCCAGCUCCAAUAGCGUAUAUUAAAGUUGUUGCAGUUAAAAAGCUCGUAGUUGAAUUUCGGGGUUAGUAGGUUGGUCAUGCCUCUGGUAUGUACUGGUCUCACUGAUUCCUCCUUCCUGAUGAGCCGUAAUGCCAUUAAUUUGGUGUUGCGGGGAAUUUGGACUGUUACUUUGAAAAAUUAGAGUGUUUAAAGCAAGCUAACGCUUGAAUACAUUAGCAUGGAAUAAUGAAAUAGGACGUUCGAUCCUAUUUUGUUGGUUUCUAGGAUUGACGUAAUGAUUAAUAGGGAUAGUUGGGGGCAUUAGUAUUCAAUUGUCAGAGGUGAAAUUCUUGGAUUUAUUGAAGACUAACUACUGCGAAAGCAUUUGCCAAGGAUGUUUUCAUUAAUCAAGAACGAAAGUUAGGGGAUCGAAGACGAUCAGAUACCGUCGUAGUCUUAACCAUAAACUAUGCCGACUAGGGAUCGGAUGAUGUUAAUUUUUUAAUGACUCAUUCGGCGUACCCG
This 520-nucleotide unclassified non-coding RNA is filed under the name uncultured Glomus. Its description in RNAcentral is "SSU rRNA". It matches the Rfam family "Eukaryotic small subunit ribosomal RNA", at positions 569 to 1089 of the family's 1831-position model. Lineage: Eukaryota; Fungi; Glomeromycota; Glomeromycetes; Glomerales; Glomeraceae. The record is from RNAcentral.